AGUCCCAAAAAGCAUUCUGUGCGAAGCACUUAACGCCAAAAGUGAACAAAACAACACUUGCUCUAUUAACACGCCACACUGUCUGAAGGCAGUCGGCUUAACGAGAAACAAGAAUAUCCUACGUGUGGCUAAUUUGCGGUUAAGGAAGGCCCCAUGAUAUAUAAAGCCAAAAAAUAAAGCAAAACCGCAGCAGUUCAUUCAAAUUUUUUGUGGCCAAAACAAAUAUUAAGAUAAAAGUCAGUGGGGACUAUAAUUUGAGUUAUUCAAAUGCAAUAAAUCCGCGGAACCAAACGAGUUGCUAAUUUUACGUUAGACGCCCUUUAAUUUCACGCUGCCAUUUGUGGCUUCCGUUUCGUAUAAGUUUGGGUCGAUGAUUUUUAGAAUUUGCAUUUUCAAUUUGAAUAUAAAAAACCGCCGCUGCAGGUUUGCAGCUUUUAAAGUGAUCCGCAAUCUCAUUCCUAGUCAGUCGAAAAAAGACUUUCUGACCUUCCCAUCCAAACGAAAAACCGAAAGUCGACCGCAAAGAUCUAAAAAGAGGGAUUUGAUUUCACAAACACUCAACCACAAAUAUUUAUUCACAUGGCCAGGUGAGAAUUGACAAAUUUCCAUUUCGUCAAUUCGAACAAUAAAGCUAAAACUAUAACGAAACUCCUUAAAUAAAAAAAACCAAGAAAAAACGAGUGGCCAAGGCCACUCAAAACCGCUUUCAAUUAAAGUGGAGCACACUUUUGCUUGUGGUCGGGCGCAAGCUCAUCAUCACGAUCAUUGUCGUCAUAAUCAUUAUAAGCUGAUGCCUCAGGAGUGAAAACGUUGUUGCCCCAGGCGGUGUAUCCAAACGUCCCCAACUCAGCCCGCUUAUGACCCCAGAAACAAAAAGUUCCAUUACCGAAUGACAUUUAUGAAGAAAUUGUGCAUAUUAAAUUGGGAUAUUGAUAAGUGAUAUCAUUGUUCCCAAGAAGUGAACGUCUAAACACAAAGGCAGACGGAUGAACAUUGCUAAAUGGACAGGCUUUCUUCUACCUCUUACAUACUUCUCAACGAAUCACAUAUACACUAUACUAUAAUGUGUUCACAAAAUACCAAAAAUGAUCAAGGUCUACACUCUAACGAUGUGCUGAAGUAGCUGCGCCGCAGAAAGAUAAAGCCUAAUGUGGAAAUACAAAUGUAAUUGCUUGCAGUUAAUUGACCCACAUACGAUUUCUAGCCAAGUCAAUGUCAAGUGUUGCUUCGGCUGACUUACUACAAAAGUUAAUUGCACUGCACGCACAUGCCAAAAGGUAAAAAGAGUCGCGAGCCUCGGCGACAGGCUUCCAAAACCCUGUAUAUCCACAUCACCAGACCUCAGGACCUCAACUUACGACUCUGGCUACGAGGCGCGUGUGUGCAAUAUCAGGUUUCCGCAUCGACUUGCAUAGUGAUUCGAGGAUGUGCGAAAAUAUGAUUUAAAUUAAGGGAUCAUCAGUUUGCAACAGACUAUUUGUAUACCUUCCUUUUAGAAUAUAUAUAUAUUUUUUAUAGAAAUAUGUAAUACUAGUUAAGUCUUCUAAAGGAAAUACAUUUUUACACGUU
Drosophila melanogaster (fruit fly) is the source of this 1569-nucleotide non-coding RNA. Lineage: Eukaryota; Metazoa; Arthropoda; Insecta; Diptera; Drosophilidae. The record is from Ensembl.